Molecule: long non-coding RNA, 1038 nt
Filed under: Canis lupus familiaris (dog)
Lineage: Eukaryota; Metazoa; Chordata; Mammalia; Carnivora; Canidae
Description: lncRNA (ENSCAFG00000051489.1)
Source: RNAcentral
ACAUGCCUGGGAAAGUGAGAUCAUUAUUUCAAUCCUAAAAAUAACUUCUGCUAUUUGCAGAAAUGCAGGACUGUUUCAGAGUUAAUCAGGAAGUGGUAGAGUUUCAUUUGCUUUUAGGCUUCAAAAAUUUUUCAAAUGUUCAUGAAUUUAAAAAAGACCUUGAAACGCUGGGAGAAAAGGUUGGGUGAAGAGAGUUGAUGGCCUACAAAGAUGAGUAAUUGACAAUUACUCUAAUAACUUUAUGUUUUAUGCUAUUAUUAACAAGACUAUCCUUGAACAAAACCAUUACCUCAUUCAAUAAACAAUUACUGAAUGCCUUCAAGGCAGCAGACCUUUGCACUCAACAGGAUAGCUGAGCUAGAUCCUUUAAUUGUGGUGCAGCCAGCUUUACAGAGCAGAAGUAGAAAGACUAGAAACAAGACUGCUUCUGCCCCCUUCAAGAUUAGAAUCUUAGCACCUCCCUAACUCUGCCCUUUAUGUGUUUUUGAAUUUCAUUCAGUGGGUUAAGCAAAAUACUUGUCCAAGGCUCUUAGCCAUGAUGCCUAAAACCUGGUUUGUUGAAUUUCCAUUUCUACUGGAAACAUGGUCACUGCUGUUUUUAACAAAUUUUCAAAUAACAUUGUUUCCACUAUAGAAACAAAGUGGUCUCAUCUACUAAAAUGAGCUCUUGCAGUAUCCCCAUUUUCAAAUAACUGUUCAAAGAAUCAGCUUCCAUUAGGAAGUGAGUGGUCUCCCAUGAAUGAAAUGUCUCCUAAUAUGGAACUAGCAUUCUCCACAUAGUAACUAGGUUUUAUUUAAGCAAAGACGAUUGCCAAUAAAAAGCUAAAGCAUCUACUCCCAGCAGUGGAUUUGACUGAAAAACCAGUCUCCAUGCAGAAGGUCCUAUAUUUCAGAAGUUCUCAUGAAACCAGCAUAUGCGCAUCCUUAUCCAUCUGCUAUGAUUAUUAUAUGAUCAUUGGACUCCAGGGCCCAAAUUUUACGCAAUCAAGGAGCCUAUGACUCAAGAGCAGAAAUUGUUGAGUGCUACUGAGAAAAAAA